Podarcis lilfordi (Lilford's wall lizard) is the source of this 69-nucleotide non-coding RNA. The record is from the annotation of a GenBank genome assembly. Lineage: Eukaryota; Metazoa; Chordata; Lepidosauria; Squamata; Lacertidae.
GCGGUAGCUCAGCGGCAGAGCACCUGCUUUGCAUGCAGAAGGUCCCGGGUUCAAUCCCCUGCAUCUCCA